GGUGCUUGCAUCAUGAUUUACAUUUGAGUGAGUGGCGAACUGGUGAGUAACACGUGGGAAACCUGCCCAGAAGCGGGGGAUAACACCUGGAAACAGAUGCUAAUACCGCAUAACAACUUGGACCGCAUGGUCCGAGUUUGAAAGAUGGCUUCGGCUAUCACUUUUGGAUGGUCCCGCGGCGUAUUAGCUAGAUGGUGAGGUAACGGCUCACCAUGGCAAUGAUACGUAGCCGACCUGAGAGGGUAAUCGGCCACAUUGGGACUGAGACACGGCCCAAACUCCUACGGGAGGCAGCAGUAGGGAAUCUUCCACAAUGGACGAAAGUCUGAUGGAGCAACGCCGCGUGAGUGAAGAAGGGUUUCGGCUCGUAAAACUCUGUUGUUAAAGAAGAACAUAUCUGAGAGUAACUGUUCAGGUAUUGACGGUAUUUAACCAGAAAGCCACGGCUAACUACGUGCCAGCAGCCGCGGUAAUACGUAGGUGGCAAGCGUUGUCCGGAUUUAUUGGGCGUAAAGCGAGCGCAGGCGGUUUUUUAAGUCUGAUGUGAAAGCCUUCGGCUCAACCGAAGAAGUGCAUCGGAAACUGGGAAACUUGAGUGCAGAAGAGGACAGUGGAACUCCAUGUGUAGCGGUGAAAUGCGUAGAUAUAUGGAAGAACACCAGUGGCGAAGGCGGCUGUCUGGUCUGUAACUGACGCUGAGGCUCGAAAGUAUGGGUAGCAAACAGGAUUAGAUACCCUGGUAGUCCAUACCGUAAACGAUGAAUGCUAAGUGUUGGAAGGUUUCCGCCCUUCAGUGCUGCAGCUAACGCAUUAAGCAUUCCGCCUGGGGAGUACGGCCGCAAGGCUGAAACUCAAAGGAAUUGACGGGGGCCCGCACAAGCGGUGGAGCAUGUGGUUUAAUUCGAAGCUACGCGAAGAACCUUACCAGGUCUUGACAUACUAUGCAAAUCUAAAAGAUUAGACGUUCCCUUCCGGGACAUGGAUACAAGUGGUGCAUGG
Molecule: ribosomal RNA, 999 nt
Filed under: Lactiplantibacillus plantarum
Lineage: Bacteria; Bacillati; Bacillota; Bacilli; Lactobacillales; Lactobacillaceae
Description: bacterial SSU rRNA
Rfam family: Bacterial small subunit ribosomal RNA
Source: RNAcentral